UAAUUGAUUUUCAUGGUACUUUGACUCUACUUCAUCAGGUCUGUGAGCUGGGCUUGAUCUUCAAUUUCCAUAAGGCUUAUUAUAUAUUGGAUGAGCUUUUAAUUGCUGGUGAACUUCAGGAGUCUAGCAAGAAAACAGUAGCACGUCUGAUUGCUGCACAGGAUUCUUUAGUGGAGGCUGCUAAAGAGCAGGCCAGUUCAAUUAGCAAUAUGAUCGCACAGGCAACCAAAUGAGAGAGUACAGUAAAAGUUGCGAUUAU
This is a non-coding RNA of Camellia sinensis, 259 nucleotides long. Lineage: Eukaryota; Viridiplantae; Streptophyta; Magnoliopsida; Ericales; Theaceae. The record is from RefSeq and is a predicted model, not a curated record.